GAAAAAUUAUUUUAUUUUAUUAAUAUUUCUGUAAUUCCGUAAUUUUCUGAAAAUACCGUCACAAGACUCUUUAUCGCCUCUGCAAAGCCUCUGCAAAGCAUACAUUUCAGAGGUCAAAAAAAAUAAGUGGCUACACCUUCCCCAACCUAGAAACCCUAGGUGCAAAGAGAAAAGCACAAACAAAACACAAGAGCUCAUCGCCAACCACCUUCCAACUCUGAGCAGAGAUCCAAGCCAGCCCACCGCCAACUCUACAUAGAGCAAUCAUUGUCGCCCAUCAAUGCACAGCCGCUCACCCAAUAGUGCCAACCUCCAUUUUUCUCCACAAAAACACACAACUCAGCUCAACUAUGAUCAGAAAAUGAUACCAUGGAGCUCUCUAGCUCCCGUAGGCUAUCGGGACAACCUUUCUUGCUGUGUUGUAAAAGCAAAUCCUGCAGUUUCAUAAUAGCCAAAGCAAGAAUGUCCUCCUACCGCACAAAGCAAACAUCUAGAUCUAGAGUUCAGAAGCUGAUCCAGGAGAGUAAACCAAAGCAAACUUCGAUCUAACACUCCCACAAAAGCAGAUUUUCUCUAACAUCACCCUCUCCAUGCACAAGCCCAGACCUGCUACUCCAACAACUAAAAGUCAAAACUAUACGAUCCAAAUCUGGAAGAGGAGGAGACCAAAAUCAAACUGAAGAAACACCUUCCCCUUGCUUUGAAAGGACUAAGCUCGGUAAAACCCGAGAGACGACGAAAGGUAGACAUCUCCUUUAGAGAGAACCUUCGAGACAAGUGGAGUAAUUUUAUUACACAUUUGAUAGAUUUGCUAAUAAUUUUUCGUUUCCUCUAUAAUGAAAUUAUAUUUUUCCCAAUAAAAAUCAUUAAUU
Molecule: unclassified non-coding RNA, 872 nt
Filed under: Hevea brasiliensis (rubber tree)
Lineage: Eukaryota; Viridiplantae; Streptophyta; Magnoliopsida; Malpighiales; Euphorbiaceae
Source: RNAcentral